CGGAGAUGUAGCCGAUGGGGCGGUUGCCGAUCGGGGCGGCGAGAGUGUUCCACCUCGUGAUCAGGUCGGUCAUGUCCGCCGCCUUGGG
This 88-nucleotide transfer RNA is filed under the name Streptomyces griseosporeus. Its description in RNAcentral is "tRNA-Pro". The record is from RNAcentral. Lineage: Bacteria; Bacillati; Actinomycetota; Actinomycetes; Kitasatosporales; Streptomycetaceae.